RNAcentral lists this non-coding RNA (559 nucleotides) under Limonium tenellum. Its description in RNAcentral is "transfer RNA-Leu". The stretch from base 1 to 485 matches the Rfam family "Group I catalytic intron". Rfam says of the family: Group I catalytic introns are large self-splicing ribozymes. They catalyse their own excision from mRNA, tRNA and rRNA precursors in a wide range of organisms. The record is from RNAcentral. Lineage: Eukaryota; Viridiplantae; Streptophyta; Magnoliopsida; Caryophyllales; Plumbaginaceae.
AGCCUUAGUAUGGAACCUACUAAGUGAGAACUUUCAAAAUCAGAGAAACCCUGGAAUUAAGAAAAAUGGGCAAUCCUGAGCCAACUCCCGCUUUCCAAAUAAAAAAAGGAUAGGUGCAGAGACUCAAUGGAAGCUAUUCUAACAAAUGGCGUUGACUUCGUUGCAUUGUUAUAAGGAUUACUCCUCCAAAAAGGAUGAAGAAGAAACGUAUAUACAUAUGUAUACGUACUGAAAAAUUAAAUACUAUACUGUAUCGAAAAUAAAGAAUUAAUGAUGACCCGAAUACAUUUUUUUCAUAUUCAUAUAAAAAUAAAAAAAUGGAAUAAUUGUUGUGAAUUGAUUCCAAGUUGAAGAAAGAAUCGAAUAUGAAUUUCAUAAAUUCAUAUUUCAUAUUUAAAAUUUACCCCGUGUCUGAUAGAUCUUUUGAAGAACCAAUCAAUUGGAUGAGAAUGAAGAUAGAGUCCCAUUCUACAUGUCAAUACCGACAAGAAUGAAAUUUAUAGUAAGGGAAAAUCCGUCGACUUUAUAAAUCGUGAGGGUUCAAGUCCCUCUAUCCCCA